This 492-nucleotide ribosomal RNA is filed under the name uncultured bacterium. RNAcentral's name for it is "partial 16S ribosomal RNA". It matches the Rfam family "Bacterial small subunit ribosomal RNA", at positions 29 to 507 of the family's 1533-position model. The record is from RNAcentral.
AGUGAACGCUGGCGGUAGGCCUAACACAUGCAAGUCGAACGGCAGCACAGUAAGAGCUUGCUCUUACGGGUGGCGAGUGGCGGACGGGUGAGGAAUACAUCGGAAUCUACUUUUUCGUGGGGGAUAACGUAGGGAAACUUACGCUAAUACCGCAUACGACCUACGGGUGAAAGCAGGGGAUCUUCGGACCUUGCGCGAUUGAAUGAGCCGAUGUCGGAUUAGCUAGUUGGCGGGGUAAAGGCCCACCAAGGCGACGAUCCGUAGCUGGUCUGAGAGGAUGGAUCGGCCACAUGGAAACUGGAACCCGGCCCGACUCCCUAGGGAGGGCGCAGUGGGGAAAAUUUGAAAAUGGGGGGAAAGCCUGUACAAGCAUACCGGGGGGGGGAAAAAAGGCCUGCGGGUGUAAAGCCCUUUUGGUUGGGAAAAAAAGGAGGCGGGUAAAACCCCCGUUUUUGGACGGGAACCAAAGAAAAAAACACGGGUAACUUUGGG